UUGAGGGAUUCCUGAGGACAUCUAGGAAAAGGGGGAGUCUGCAUCCACGUCUUAGCGCAGUCUGAUAUGAUUCGUCUUUUUCCGGUGUGACAAAUGCAAGCUUUAGUUGGAUAAACUUGCUAUUUCUCUCCAACAAUUGUCCUUACAAAUUUCUGCCAUUUACUGUGAGUAUGGAAAGAGCAAGCUUGGAAUACUGAAGAGAAACCUGGAGUGGUGGAGGUGUCCUUCUGAGUUGACUGGGAGAGAUGAAAGGAAGUAUUUUAUUUCCACCGAGCACAAAAGCCUCAAGAUCAGACUAACUCCUGUGACCUUGACCCAUCCUGUCACCUUUAAAUGGGCUUACAGAACAGUGAGUUUGCAUAGGAUUGAAAGUUGCUUACUUCAAAC
This 387-nucleotide long non-coding RNA is filed under the name Mus spicilegus (steppe mouse). Its description in RNAcentral is "lncRNA (ENSMSIG00000028981.1)". The record is from RNAcentral. Lineage: Eukaryota; Metazoa; Chordata; Mammalia; Rodentia; Muridae.